RNAcentral lists this ribosomal RNA (540 nucleotides) under Stylephorus chordatus (tube-eye). RNAcentral describes it as "partial 16S ribosomal RNA". It matches the Rfam family "Bacterial large subunit ribosomal RNA", at positions 1846 to 2586 of the family's 2925-position model. Lineage: Eukaryota; Metazoa; Chordata; Actinopteri; Stylephoriformes; Stylephoridae. The record is from RNAcentral.
UAAGAGGUCCCGCCUGCCCUGUGACUAUAAGUUUAACGGCCGUUUUAUCUUAACCGUGCAAAGGUAGCGCAAUCACUUGUCUUUUAAAUGAAGACCUGUAUGAAUGGCAUAACGAGGGCUUAGCUGUCUCCCCCCUCCAGUCAAUGAAACUGACCUCCCCGUGCAGAGGCGGGGAUUAUUACAUAAGACGAGAAGACCCUGUGGAGCUUUAGACCUAAAGUAGUGCAUGUCUAAAAUACUAGAAAAUAAGAAAAAACCCAAUGCCCCCUACUGAAGUGUCUUUGGUUGGGGCGACCGCGGGGUAAAACAAAACCCCCAUGUAGACCGGGGAAACAUCCCUAAAACCCAGAGCAACCACUCUAAGAAACAAAACCUUUGACUUUUUCUGAUCCGGCAUAGCCGAUCAACGAACCGAGUUACCCCAGGGAUAACAGCGCAAUCCUCUCUCAGAGCCCAUAUCGACGAGGGGGUUUACGACCUCGAUGUUGGAUCAGGACAUCCUAAUGGUGCAGCCGCUAUUAAGGGUUCGUUUGUUCAACG